This 78-nucleotide small nucleolar RNA is filed under the name Clavispora lusitaniae ATCC 42720. Lineage: Eukaryota; Fungi; Ascomycota; Pichiomycetes; Serinales; Metschnikowiaceae. The record is from RNAcentral.
UUUCUUGAUGAUUGUUCUCACAACAUAUGUCCCGGUGACUCGUGAGCCAUGGAUAAUUACAUGCAUCACCAUCUGACC